CUCGGGUGGGGAGGGGGGGAGGGCGGGACCACGCUCUUCCGGGCUCGGGAUUGGCGGGGCCUCAGGGCUGGCGGCUGAAGCCGGGUGAGGAGUGACUGACCCGGGCUAGCCAGUGCUGGGUACUGCACAUGAUCUCAUUUGGAUGAUCCUGGCAACAGCUCUAUGAGGCAGCUGCAAUCAAUUGUCCCCAUUUUACAGACUAAGAAACAAGGGACAGAGUUCAGCUCAAGUUCUCAACUCCUGCAUCGUAUUACGUAAAGGAUGUGGUAGCCACUCAUUUUCAUCAACAAGACUAUCAGGAAUGUAUAAAAUCAAACAGAAGAAGACAUCACUGUUACUCGUGAACCUAAGUUAUAUUUGAAAGAUGGAAGGGUUAUUUGUACUGUUAUAUAUACUGAGUCUGAUUUCCUCAUCUCACCUGGAAGGACACAUGAACAGAGAACUUCCUGUACUCCCCUGGCAUAUUCUUCCCAUUAACUAAAUUCGCUCAAUGGGCAACCUUCUAAGCCAUUUGUACUGAGAUGAUCCAGUCUGCAAGAAGGUCUAAAACCCCUUGUGGCCCGAGAGCACUCCUUUCCCAUACCACUCCCCUCUCGGGCCCUCCCACUACGCCCUUGAAAAUCAUUCCAUGGAGCCUGUACAGGGAGUGAAUAACUGCUCCUCACUCCACCCUCCUACAGAGACCGCAUGAAUUCCUCCUGUGUGACUGAGACUCCUCUGAAUGUCUCUGACCCUGUGGGACUCAGCCUGAAAGUAAAACAUCCCUUCCCGUCUGAGACCUUGCUGGCUCUCAUUUCCAGGCUUCCCUUCACCCUGAGAGUGACAGCAGUAGAGUUAAUUUUGUAGUGGUAGUUUCUCUUGCUGGCUCAGAGGAGAAGCUCAAUAAAGAUGUAUUCAUUGGAGAAAAAAUGGUUUCAACCAAAGGAUUCCUAUCCUUAAUAAUGGUGUUCUAGGACUGAAUUAGGACUAAGUUUUCAGCCAUCUCCCAAAUCCUUUCUUCUGCAAACUUCAGCACCUGUCCUUCUGACCCACCAGGAGGGUGCCCUCUUUGCUACUUUUCUCUGCUUGGAGUUCUUUUGUUAUCUAAUCUUUUCUACAACCUGGAGGCUGGUUUUAUCUUCCCUGCUUUACAACUGAAGCAGCUCAAGAGAUAUGAAGCUAUCCUUCAAAGACUCAAAUGGAUUGGAUUCCAGAUUUGUCUGACCCCAAAGCCCAGUGCUCUUUCCACUGUUCUACACUAUCCCCAAGAAUAGAACUGUACUGUUACCUCAGGUGCACAAGAUGGAACCCCAAAAUUUUCACAAAUAGGUUCGAAGCAUGGGAGAAGUGGUGGAGUCAGUUUUGAAUAUGGCCAGUGAGCUUCAAAUACUCACAACAGCAUAUUGUUGAGAUUUUAGUUUCUUCUGGUUCUGUAUUAAAACAAUGAAGUCCACCAGGGGAGAGCAGAGCUGGUUAGCAGGGAGUUACACGGGGGUAGAUGACCAGGAAUUUAUGCCAACGCUGCAUUGCAACUUUAUUCCCUCACCUGUCAGUUUGGUAAUCGCUCCUUUCAAUGAAGGACCAGGAAGGAGAUGCUAUGAUGGCCACACGGAAGGUAAACUGCACACGGAGAUGCCAUGAACAUUCCAAAAAGCCUUAUGCAUGCUAAAGCCAUCCUAACUGUAUAUUCAAUUAAGGUACCACCCCCUACUUCAUGGAAGAGACUGAUAAUGUUAGGAGAGAUCCAUUUUGCUCUUGAACAUGCUUGGGGAUCUUUCUCAGGCCUCCUCCUCUUCUCUCACUCUCUUCAUAGCCAACUCUCUGGCAUACUUUUCCUUACUCUACUCAUGACAACAGAUCUCUCUCUAUAGGGUGGCCAACAUUCACAUGUAAAUGUAUGUCCACGCUGCUCUCUCUUUUAAAUAAAUCCUGCCCUCACUUGUGCACUGUAUUUUGCCUCUGCCUUGAAU
Molecule: non-coding RNA, 1949 nt
Organism: Oryctolagus cuniculus (rabbit)
Lineage: Eukaryota; Metazoa; Chordata; Mammalia; Lagomorpha; Leporidae
Source: RefSeq, a predicted model, not a curated record